Molecule: ribosomal RNA, 230 nt
Filed under: uncultured bacterium
Lineage: Bacteria
Description: partial 16S ribosomal RNA
Rfam family: Bacterial small subunit ribosomal RNA
Source: RNAcentral
UGAGCAAUCUGCCCUUCACAUCGGAAUAAGCGUUGGAAACGACGUCUAAUGCCGAAUACGACCUCCUUUCGCAUGAUCGGAGGUGGAAAGCUCCGGCGGAGAAGGAUGAGCUCGCGGCCUAUCAGCUAGUUGGUGUGGGUAAUGGCCCACCAAGGCGACGACGGGUAGCCGGCCUGAGAGGGNGACCGGCCACACUGGGACUGAGACACGGCCCAGACUCCUAUGGGAGG